AUUAUACUUCCUCCGUCCAACAAAGGAUGUCUCAAUUUGGAUUAAAUUUGAAUUUAUUUAUACACUAAGUCAUGCCUAGAUAUAUUCAAAAUUUGACAAACUUAAGACAUUCUUUGUUGGACGGAGAGAGUAUAUA
Brachypodium distachyon (stiff brome) is the source of this 136-nucleotide non-coding RNA. The record is from Rfam. NCBI's taxonomy places the organism in Eukaryota, Viridiplantae, Streptophyta, Magnoliopsida, Poales, Poaceae.